RNAcentral lists this transfer RNA (86 nucleotides) under candidate division WWE3 bacterium CG_4_9_14_0_2_um_filter_35_11. RNAcentral's name for it is "tRNA-Tyr". It matches the Rfam family "tRNA". From Rfam's summary of the family: Transfer RNA (tRNA) molecules are approximately 80 nucleotides in length. Their secondary structure includes four short double-helical elements and three loops (D, anti-codon, and T loops). Further hydrogen bonds mediate the characteristic L-shaped molecular structure. tRNAs have two regions of fundamental functional importance: the anti-codon, which is responsible for specific mRNA codon recognition, and the 3' end, to which the tRNAs corresponding amino acid is attached (by aminoacyl-tRNA synthetases). tRNAs cope with the degeneracy of the genetic code in two manners: having more than one tRNA (with a specific anti-codon) for a particular amino acid; and 'wobble' base-pairing, i.e. permitting non-standard base-pairing at the 3rd anti-codon position. RNAcentral also lists the same sequence under 1 other name. Lineage: Bacteria; candidate division WWE3. The record is from RNAcentral.
CCAGGGGUGGCGGAGUGGUCAAUCGCACCAGACUGUAAAUCUGGCGGGUCUUCCCUACGUUGGUUCGAACCCAACCCCCUGGACCA